UGGUGGAGUGAUUUGUCUGGUUAAUUCCGAUAACGAACGAGACUCUGGCCUGCUAAAUAGACGGGCGAUCCCUUCGUGGGUCGACCCGAUUUGCUUCUUAGAGGGACAAGUGGCGUUCCUAGCCACGCGAAAUUGAGCAAUAACA
Molecule: ribosomal RNA, 145 nt
Filed under: uncultured eukaryote
Lineage: Eukaryota
Description: partial 18S ribosomal RNA
Rfam family: Eukaryotic small subunit ribosomal RNA
Source: RNAcentral